AUUGAACGCUGGCGGCAGGCCUAACACAUGCCAGUCGAGCGGAUGAAGGGAGCUUGCUCCUGGAUUCAGCGGCGGACGGGUGAGUAAUGCCUAGGAAUCUGCCUGGUAGUGGGGGAUAACGUCCGGAAACGGGCGCUAAUACCGCAUACGUCCUGAGGGAGAAAGUGGGGGAUCUUCGGACCUCACGCUAUCAGAUGAGCCUAGGUCGGAUUAGCUAGUUGGUGGGGUAAAGGCUUACCAAGGCGACGUUCCGUAACUGGUCUGAGAGGAUGAUCAGUCACACUGGAACUGAGACACGGUCCAGACUCCUACGGGAGGCAGCAGUGGGGAAUAUUGGACAAUGGGCGAAAGCCUGAUCCAGCCAUGCCGCGUGUGUGAAGAAGGUCUUCGGAUUGUAAAGCACUUUAAGUUGGGAGGAAGGGCAGUAAGUUAAUACCUUGCUGUUUUGACGUUACCAACAGAAUAAGCACCGGCUAACUUCGUG
This 484-nucleotide ribosomal RNA is filed under the name uncultured bacterium. Its description in RNAcentral is "partial 16S ribosomal RNA". It matches the Rfam family "Bacterial small subunit ribosomal RNA", at positions 30 to 507 of the family's 1533-position model. The record is from RNAcentral.